UACAGAGGGUGCAAGCGUUGUUCGGAAUUAUUGGGCGUAAAGGGCGCGUAGGCGGUUCGUACAGUCAGACGUGAAAUUCCUGGGCUCAACCUGGGGGCUGCGUUUGAUACGUGCGGGCUUGAGUUCGGAAGAGGGUCGUGGAAUUCCCAGUGUAGAGGUGAAAUUCGUAGAUAUUGGGAAGAACACCGGUGGCGAAGGCGGCGACCUGGUCCGAUACUGACGCUGAGGCGCGAAAGCGUGGGGAGCAAACAGG
This 253-nucleotide ribosomal RNA is filed under the name uncultured bacterium. Its description in RNAcentral is "partial 16S ribosomal RNA". It matches the Rfam family "Bacterial small subunit ribosomal RNA", at positions 524 to 776 of the family's 1533-position model. The record is from RNAcentral.